GGGGACGUGGUUUAGUGGUAUAACGCUCGCUUAGCAUGCGAGAGGUCCGGGGUUCGAUUCCCCGCGUCUCCA
RNAcentral lists this transfer RNA (72 nucleotides) under Monascus purpureus. RNAcentral's name for it is "tRNA-Ala". It matches the Rfam family "tRNA". From Rfam's summary of the family: Transfer RNA (tRNA) molecules are approximately 80 nucleotides in length. Their secondary structure includes four short double-helical elements and three loops (D, anti-codon, and T loops). The record is from RNAcentral. Lineage: Eukaryota; Fungi; Ascomycota; Eurotiomycetes; Eurotiales; Aspergillaceae.